RNAcentral lists this transfer RNA (70 nucleotides) under Trichonephila inaurata madagascariensis. It matches the Rfam family "tRNA". Rfam says of the family: Transfer RNA (tRNA) molecules are approximately 80 nucleotides in length. Their secondary structure includes four short double-helical elements and three loops (D, anti-codon, and T loops). Lineage: Eukaryota; Metazoa; Arthropoda; Arachnida; Araneae; Nephilidae. The record is from Rfam by way of RNAcentral.
GGCCCGUUAGCUCAGUUGGUUAGAGCGUCGUGCUAAUAACGCGAAGGUCGGGGUUAUCCCCUACGGGCCA